RNAcentral lists this small RNA (1027 nucleotides) under Drosophila pseudoobscura pseudoobscura. RNAcentral describes it as "GA32273". Lineage: Eukaryota; Metazoa; Arthropoda; Insecta; Diptera; Drosophilidae. The record is from RNAcentral.
ACCCGCCAAUGAAAAUAGCAUAAGGCAAUAAAAGCAUUUUUUUGUUGUUAAAAAAAUGCAUAGUACACCAAAUAAUGCUAAUAGUUUAAAUAAAAAGGUCAACUUGAAUUGCAUGGCACCACUGCUUGCCUUGACGUUAGGAAGUGGUUUCCAAGUGCGAAGUGCAUAUACAAAAAAACUCGUGUCUCAUUGUGCAGGAGUCUUGUAUGCAUUUAAAAAUAUUUCUGGUCUUUCCCGUGUGCUCAUGAUGGCUGAACGCCAGAGCCGAAGACCCUGAAAACCCAGUUGAAAGUUAAUUGAUUAGCGAUGGGUCCAGCUCCCAAUAUAAAUCGUAAUUGUUUAUUCCUUCUGAGAGCAUAUUGGAUUAUAUAUUUUCCUGGAUAAGCGGCGCGAGAAUUUAACCUUCACUGCUGUGGCGAUUUUCUCUCUUUAAACCGACCUCGUAUUGCCUCCUGCAUCGGCUUUACCUCAUCGGCUUUGACCGGCUCUAUUGGCCGAGUCCCUCUCUGUCCACAAACUGCUAUGUCGCGAUCCCCUCAUCUUGCCAUCUUUGCAGGCCGCUCGCCGUCGGUACCUCCUCCGCGGGUGAUUCCGCCAUAGCUCCUCGUCCUCUCGAGAGCUCCGAGUCGACAAUCUGAUAAUCGACGGCGCAAUCAGCAACCCCCCAUUGAUACGUCGCCCAAUGAAACGCUGAGCUUCGGCAUCGAGACGCAGGACUUAUGUGCCCUACGCUUUGCCACAAGGCGUGUCGUAUUCGAUUUCCUCCUCGCCAGACGGAGUUCUAUCAAAGUAUCCCAGCCAGACAGAAUCGUAUCCCAUCAGGACAGAACAAGUCAUCGUCAUCCUUCGACCUGGACAUCGACUACAAGGACUUUGACAAUGGCAAGGGCAAGGGUAGCGCCUCGCGGGCUACUAGACUCUAGAUAAAUUUUAAUGUUAUUAGGUUUAAGAUAGAUACAAAUGUUUUUCACGUGUUUAUUUAUUUAUACUCAGCUACGAUUUGAUGAAUACAACUAUUGAAAAAAUA